Molecule: ribosomal RNA, 301 nt
Filed under: uncultured bacterium
Lineage: Bacteria
Description: partial 16S ribosomal RNA
Rfam family: Bacterial small subunit ribosomal RNA
Source: RNAcentral
CAGUCGCCGCGGUAAUACGGAGGGGGCUAGCGUUGUUCGGAAUUACUGGGCGUAAAGCGCACGUAGGCGGCUUGGUAAGUUAGAGGUGAAAGCCCGGAGCUCAACUCCGGAAUUGCCUUUGAGACUGCCGAGCUAGCAGGUGAGAGAGGUAAGUGGAAUUCCGAGUGUAGAGGUGAAAUUCGUAGAUAUUCGGAAGAACACCAGUGGCGAAGGCGGCUUACUGGCUCAUACUGGACGCUGAGGUGCGAAAGCGUGGGGAGCAAACAGGAUUAGAUACCCCUGUAGUCCCUGUCUCUUAUAC